AGAAUCAACGCUGGCGGCGUGCCUAACACAUGCAAGUCGAACGGGAAAGUGGAGCAAUCCAUGAGUAUAGUGGCGACCGGGUGAGUAACACGUGACUAACCUACCCUUGAGUGGGGAUAACCUCGGGAAACCGGGCUAAUACCGCAUAAAAUCUUCGGGAUGAGAAGCUGGAGAUCAAAGGAGCAAUUCGCUUUUUGGAGGGGGUCGCGGCUGAUUAGCUAGUUGCGGGUAACGCCACAAGGCUUUGAUCGGUA
This 254-nucleotide ribosomal RNA is filed under the name uncultured bacterium. Its description in RNAcentral is "partial small subunit ribosomal RNA". It matches the Rfam family "Bacterial small subunit ribosomal RNA", at positions 26 to 285 of the family's 1533-position model. The record is from RNAcentral.